ACUCCUACGGGAGGCAGCAGUGGGGAAUAUUGCACAAUGGGCGCAAGCCUGAUGCAGCAACGCCGCGUGAGUGAUGAAGGCCUUCGGGUCGUAAAGCUCUGUCCUCAAGGAAGAAUAAAUGACGGUACUUGAGGAGGAACGCCCGGCUAACUACGUGCCAGCAGCCGCGGUAAUACGUAGGGGCAAGCGUUAUCCGGAAUCACUGGGCGUAAAGGGUGCGUAGGCGGUUUUUCAAGUCAGAAGUGAAAGGCUAUGGCUCAACCAUAGUAAGCUUUUGAAACUGUUAAACUUGAGUGCAGGAGAGGAAAGUGGAAUUCCUAGUGUAGAGGUGAAAUUCGUAGAUAUUAGGAGGAACACCAGUGGCGAAGGCGACUUUCUGGACUGUAACUGACGCUGAGGCACGAAAGCGUGGGGAGCGAACAGGAUUAGAUACCCUGGUAGACUGUCA
This 448-nucleotide ribosomal RNA is filed under the name uncultured bacterium. Its description in RNAcentral is "bacterial SSU rRNA". It matches the Rfam family "Bacterial small subunit ribosomal RNA", at positions 335 to 802 of the family's 1533-position model. The record is from RNAcentral.